RNAcentral lists this non-coding RNA (26 nucleotides) under Mus musculus (house mouse). Lineage: Eukaryota; Metazoa; Chordata; Mammalia; Rodentia; Muridae. The record is from RNAcentral.
UGGUCCUGUGGAAACGUUUCCUCCUG